This 341-nucleotide unclassified non-coding RNA is filed under the name soil metagenome. RNAcentral's name for it is "partial contains 5.8S ribosomal RNA, internal transcribed spacer 2, and large subunit ribosomal RNA". The stretch from base 1 to 120 matches the Rfam family "5.8S ribosomal RNA", at positions 35 to 154 of the family's 154-position model. The record is from RNAcentral.
GAUGAAGAACGUAGCGAAAUGCGAUAAGUAGUGUGAAUUGCAGAAUUCAGUGAAGCAUCGAAUCUUUGAACGCACAUUGCGCCCUUUGGUAUUCUAAAGGGCAUGCCUGUUCGAGCGUCAUUUGUACCCUCAAGCUUUGCUUGGUGUUGGGCGUCUUGUCUCUAGCUUUGCUGGAGACUCGCCUUAAAGUAAUUGGCAGCCGGCCUACUGGUUUCGGAGCGCAGCACAAGUCGCACUCUCUAUCAGCAAAGGUCUAGCAUCCAUUAAGCCUUUUUUUCAACUUUUGACCUCGGAUCAGGUAGGGAUACCCGCUGAACUUAAGCAUAUCAAUAAGCGGAGGA